RNAcentral lists this long non-coding RNA (604 nucleotides) under Gadus morhua (Atlantic cod). Its description in RNAcentral is "lncRNA (ENSGMOG00000024057.1)". Lineage: Eukaryota; Metazoa; Chordata; Actinopteri; Gadiformes; Gadidae. The record is from RNAcentral.
AUUUUAUUUGUGUUGUUCUCUUGGCACCUAGACCUCGCCAGGUCCAAGCACCAAAAUAACAUCCACCUAUCCACGCAGAGUCCAUGGGUUAGACCAUCUCCCAGACAGAGGAGCCCGGGCCAUACACACAGUGUGAGGUGCAGUGUUUGUUCUGUGGUCAAGCGAUUGACGUUGCCAGCAUCCAAGACACAUUGAUGACUGUGAAAUUUCACAUCAACCAUCAACCUCUGCUGCCCAGACCUCUGCCCAGUCCUCUGCUGCCCAGACCUCUGCUGCCCAGUCCUCUGCUGCCCUGACCUCUGCCUCGACCUCAGCUGCCUCGACCUCGUCCACUGGCAGAGUGUCAGAGAUUUUCAAUGAAGAAUGGAAGCUGGAGCCAGCUGCCAAAGCAGCAGCCAAAAUGUUUCAGACUCAUGUGGCCAAAGAUGCCGACCAGAAGCCAACCCUAAAGUUGACUUUGGACAUGCACGUCACAGAAGAGGACAGAGAAAGAUCAAUUAUCGGCUUCUAUGAGCAGACUAAUGUUGAUUGGACCCGUCCUUUUGAAGUCGAACUCAAGGGAGACUGUGCAAUUGGGGAUGGCGUGAAGAAAUAUUUAUUUUAG